UCUUGCAGACCAGGCUGGACUUGAACUCAUAGAGAUCAACCUGCCUCUGCCUCCUGAGUACUGGAAUUAAAGUCAUGUGCCACCCCUGCCCAGCUCCCAGCAAGAUACUUUAUGAGUGGAGCCAAUUGUAGCUCUUCAGAUACUCUGAUCACCAGAAUGAGCAGGGGUGGGCAGCGCUGGUGUUGUCUUCACAGCCAAGCCUGGGUUGAACUGAUGGUGUCAUGCACCACGUUGCUAGCGCACAUUUCUUUUGCCGGCUGGGUUGAGUGUGGUGUGGGUUGUGACAUGCUCUGGUGUUACAACAUACAGAGUGGAGUGGAGUGGUAGAUUGAAACUGCCCCUUCCCCUUCCCCCACCGGGUGAUACUGGAAAGUUGCCCACACAACCCCGUGACCAUUGACUUUCUCACAGCAAAACAAGCUCUCAAGGCUGACUUGUCAAUCUGUCAACAGAAAUUUGCUAUGGGUUCGUGGAGCCAUGGAAAUGCUGAAAGUAUUUCUUCAGAGAAACAGUGUUAGACUCAGCUUCUUUCUUAAGAUGACUGGGUCUCUGCUGACAGUACCCGCAUGAACAUGGAGCUGGAGGACUACUUGUGACGCCCAGAAGUUUCCACAGAUUCCCUUGGUGCCUCCUGCUCCUCAUCGCCACACCAAGAAGACUCCCCAGGCCGUCAGAGGUGUCUGUGAGCUACGUUCUCUGUCCUGUCUCUCCCUGUUGAAAUGUCUGUCCGUCCGUCCUUCCUCACAGCCAUCUGGUUUCCCAACUGGACCCUCAGUCCCAGAUACUGCUGGCCUCCUUAUUGGGUUUGCAGAGCCAUGACACCUUCUCAGAAGACCCCUGACAGCUCCCAGUGCUGCAGUUCCCUCUGGGUAGGUUUAUCCUGGAGCCAAACAGUCAACCUGCUCUGCUGCAUGCACACCCUUCCCUUUACCACCUUGCCAACCGUGGAUUCUACGCUAGCGUGAAAGAGAAAGAGAAUUCAAUAAGUGAGAAGAGAGAUAAUACACCACAAGAACUUUUAUGGGGCAUACAAGUGCCUCCUAGGAGCCAAGGAGGGUUUGGCUGUUAGUCUUCCACUGUCUAAUGCUGACAACAAAAGAGCCAACCUGAAUCCAGAUACUGAAAGCUAAGUUCCCAUGGCUAUACUGACUGAUCUCCAAGGGACCUUAGCAGCUGCUAUCAUGCCUGGAUAAGCCCUGGUGCCGGGACACUUACAAGAACAGAGACACUUUCACCUCCUGCUGACUCUCCGAAGAUUGUGACAGAGCCUGGGUCUCCUCCAAAGCUGGCAAUGUUGUCCUGAACCCAGUGCAGUGCAGCCACCUGGUCCAAGUGACCUCAGUUCCCCAGGCUGUGUUUAUCGCCUGUGCUGCAAGGAAACAGGGUGAAGGUAGAUACAUCCUGGCUGAACUCUCAGAGCGAGGAAGAGGCUAGGGCUCUUAGUGAAACAAACUGAGUCCUGAAUUCCUGACACAUGUCUUCACCACCUCACAUCUCUCCAGAAAUGCUCUGUCUGGGACUCUACGCUCAUCUUCCAGAAACUGUGUAGCCCAAGAGUUCGAGAGGAAACACGACAGACAAACCCUUCCGCUCCUGAGUGUACUCAGUUCACACUGCAGAGCACAGGAAACAGGAGUGAAGAAAUUUUAGUAUCAAGUGAUGAAAGGGAUUUGAAGACUAAACCAGCUUACAAAAGGUACAGGGAUGGGGACCGUGGGUGAUAUUUCCUAGAACCGAGAGAGGCCUCUUGGAAGAAGGGGGCGUGAAUAGAGACCUAAACAAAAUGAGCUUGCAUGCUUAUGAAUAUCAUAAAAUAUUAUUCCUGUUAAAAGAAGCAGCAGGUGUAAAGACCUCUGGGAACAGGAGUGUGAGGGUAGCCAGUAGCAGACACAGGCAGAGCAGGUGCUGUGAGCCUUGGUAAGUUCUUUAUUGUUAAAAGUGAGAGCUGUCUGCAGAAACAAGAUAUGCUUCAGCCUGUGUCUCUCACAGCGCUCUGGCCACUCUGUAGAAAAUACAUGUCUUACAAGUAACAGGUUUACUAAAAGCAAAGCAGAACAGUGGUUAUAACAAUAAUCCAGUCCAAACUGUAAGACUCUGGUUAGAGUGGAGCAGGGAGCAGAUGAGAAGAGGACACAGAGUUUGUUUGGAAGGUGGAGUCAAAAGGACUGGUUGGUUGAUUAGAUGUUGAGUGUUAAAAAAAUAGGAGUCCCAAAUGUUCCCACGGCUUUUAUGUUGAGCAAACAGGAGGUGGAAUGGCCAGCAGCUGCUCAGCAGUUGCAGGGAAAGGGGGGAGGUUUUGUUCUGUUCUCUCUGCCUGGAAUAGCAGAAGCUUGGCAUGACUCAGUCUACUUCUGAGAGCACGGUGACCACUCACCAAAACAUGCUUCAAAACUGGCUGUUAGCUAAGUUUGGGACAGCAGAGAAAACAACGGACAAGUCUGCUCAGAAGCAAGUGUAGUGAGUGAAGAAUUAAUUGACAGGUGAGGUCCAUUACUGAAGGACCAGAAUGUAUUGCGAAGGAGCCUGGCAGAGGCCUCUAAAAUGCAAGCCAUUACUGGAACUGGGUCCUGGCAUCUUUGACCUGGAAGAUGUUACAUUUUGGAUGUGCUCUUAUGAAAGAACUAUGGAGCAACAGACCCUGUAAAAUGUGAGGUCCUGUGAAAUGUCAUUAAGACGCUGGGUCCACUGCCCUUGGAGGUGUUGAGCUCUCUGGGCUAGGGUUAGUUCCCUAGUGAGCCAGUUAUAAAAACAGUGAGACUUCCCAACUCCUCCCUCCAGCUUUGUGUCCCAUCAUGCAAUCUCUUUUGCUUGUUGCAGUUUUUAUUUCUCUCCCUCUGCCAUGUUGAUCUCAAUAAGCACCCUCACCAGACCUCAAACAGAACAAAGAAACGUAUCCUGCACGUUAGCCUCUUAAAUCCUAAACUCAAUAAAUAUUUAUCUUAUAAC
This is a non-coding RNA of Myodes glareolus (Bank vole), 2946 nucleotides long. The record is from RefSeq and is a predicted model, not a curated record. NCBI's taxonomy places the organism in Eukaryota, Metazoa, Chordata, Mammalia, Rodentia, Cricetidae.